RNAcentral lists this signal recognition particle RNA (294 nucleotides) under Vombatus ursinus (common wombat). RNAcentral describes it as "Metazoan signal recognition particle RNA (ENSVURG00010002807.1)". It matches the Rfam family "Metazoan signal recognition particle RNA". Rfam says of the family: The signal recognition particle (SRP) is a universally conserved ribonucleoprotein. It is involved in the co-translational targeting of proteins to membranes. The eukaryotic SRP consists of a 300-nucleotide 7S RNA and six proteins: SRPs 72, 68, 54, 19, 14, and 9. The record is from Rfam by way of RNAcentral. Lineage: Eukaryota; Metazoa; Chordata; Mammalia; Diprotodontia; Vombatidae.
GUCUAUGUAUACCUGUAAUCCCUGCUACUGGGGGAGACUGAGGAUGGUAGAUCACUUGAGCUAAGAAGUUCUGGGCUGCACUAGGGUAAGGCAUUAGGGUAUCUGCACUGAGUCAGGCACCAAUAUGGUGAGCCCCUGGAAGUGAAAACAACACUAGGUUGCCUAAGGAGAAGCGAAUCAGCUCAUGCUGAAAACACAGCCAGUCAAAGCUGCCAUGUCAAACAAGAGUGGGAAUAGGCCUGUGAGAGGCUAUUGUACUUCCAGCCUGGGCAAGUUAGGGAGACCCACUCUCCA